RNAcentral lists this unclassified non-coding RNA (4124 nucleotides) under Schistocerca americana (American grasshopper). Its description in RNAcentral is "cB1 cannabinoid receptor-interacting protein 1-like, transcript variant X2". The record is from RNAcentral. Lineage: Eukaryota; Metazoa; Arthropoda; Insecta; Orthoptera; Acrididae.
GUACCCCACGACGCGACUGUCGUAACCUGGCAUCCGCAACCACUCUAAUAUUCUACAGCCUGUCGAUGCACCGCUGUCCUGCUCCUCGUUCCUUACCUACUUUUUCAGCGUAAUAAUCAAAUUUUUAGUGUGUGGACAGUGUCGGCAUAGUAAUCUGUUCUGCGCUUUGUUCCUGCGACGCAAAGUGUGCGAGAUGCAGAAAUUUACCUUCAGUACUCAGGUGCCAGUUUUAUAGGAAACAACUCGGUUGUCGUUCGAUUACCUGUAAACAGCUGACGUGUGAUUGGACUAGUUUCGUGAACAGAUCUCCUGGCUGCACCGUGUGUUUCGUUGAGUGUGCUGUGACAUAAGAAAUUGUGCAUGAUCUGUCUCCCAGCAACAGUGAAGUUCUGAGCUGCGUAGGUUUUGCUAGCAUAUGUUAGCACAGGAAGAUUUAUGAGAGUGAGACACAGCGGGACUGUAGUGUUUCCAGAGGUUUAUCAGCGUAGCAUCUCGCACAUUGGGCAUAGGUCGUUUCUUUAGGGACUUUUAGUCACAAUAUGGAACUUAUUUUAAGACAACUGCGUUUAGUUGGUCCUGUAACGCGCUGAGUGCAGUGUUUCAACAGAAAUGGCACGAGAGUGGAUAGGUGUGAAACGUCACCUGUGGUAGUUUGUGGUUACGGAGAGCAAAUAACAUAGCAGUCAGUGGACCGGACAUACUGUAAUGGCGCCAGGCGAUAUCAUCAGCAUCGACUGCUGUCGCUUCUGGGGCAGCAAGCGCCACAGGAGAGACUUAGCCGGGCGUCAGCAUGCGAGGGGCGGCGGCAGUGGCGCCCCCGCACAGCACAUGCAGAGCCCGCCCACGCCCACGGCCGCGCAGGCCGCGCGGCAGCAGUCUCCCGGCGCCGGCGGCACCUUCCGCGUCACGCUCUCCAUGAAGAAGGAGCCCGACGGCGGGCCCGUCUUCUGCAAGAUGGAGCAGACGCAGCGCUUCAAGCAGCUCAAGACCGUCAAGCUGCACACCGACACCGUCUACCGCAUCGACGUCAGCUUCAAGCCGCCGCGCGCCCUCCAGAGCCUGGUGAUCCAGGGCCAGGAGAUGGAGCCUUGCGAGCGAGCGCGGGACAGCACGGCGUGCGCCUACUCCUCCUACUACAACACGGAGGGCCUGAGCCCCAGCAAGAAGGGCACCCGCGAGGACCUCACCAUCAUCAUGAAGGUGGAUGGCUCUGGUGAACUCUCAACAUGCCUGCAGAUAAAACUGUACAAAGCCCAUGACAUACAGCACUGUGAAUGGGGCAGCCGCCUACACUGUAUAGAACUGGACUGCACUUCAACUGAAGGUCCUGAGGGAGUGCGUGUCAACCGUGAGACGUACAGGCAAGUGUCCACAGAUUCAAGCACCUGCCUGAGCAACGUGACGACUGGAUACAGAUCAACUGCCCACUUUUAACAAGGAUCAAGACAGGAAUUUGGAUGGUUCUCUAACCCAGGUCAUGACCAUCAUUUGCCCGCAGAAAUAAAUCAGCACAGAAAACAUGACUGAGGAUAUUUUUACCUGGAUUUAAAGGAAACUGGGUCUUGACAGUUAACUUCAUUGCCCACAAGAAGUUAUCAAUGUGGCUAUUCAAAACAUUAUCAAAAACAAACCCCACAAUCUUGAACUCAUUGGUAAAUGACUCUGCUUUAUAAAAAUGAAGAGACAAAUUAAUAUGAUAACAUCUAUGCAAAAAUAUGGUAUUUUAUUUGAAAUACUUAUUCAAAUAGCAUCCACUGACAAAGCAUGCCAUCCAUAUGGACAGUGAAAUGUGAUGAAUAAUGAAUCUGAGCUGUAUAUGUGGCAAAAAUGAUACCAAACAGAAAUGUCUCUACUAGGGAGACAAAUAUAUAAAAAGCACAAGUUCUUAAAAUGAAAUUUCAGUCAUUAAACAGUCUGAAUUACCUCAUAUUGAGGUAAUUUUCAGCAGCCAUGUCAAUUUUACCUGCAUUUUUAUAAAUGCUUUCAGUCUGCUUAAGGUGCCUAAUUUGCAAAUGGAAAUUAAUAAACUAUACCAUAUUCUUAAUUUGUAUCUCUUAACGUAUCUUAUUGUAAAAUAUUUACCUGCCCACGCAAAGAUAAAUGCUCUUGUCAUUCUGAAGAUUCAGCAUUUCACAAGAAAGUAAAAGUUCUUUUUUACUAUUGAGUAAUAAACUGAAUAAAAAUAUUUUCAGAUGGUGUCAGAAAUUCUAUUAUUCGGUCUCUAUAUAAAGGAAUAAUAUAGGUAUCUCCCUUUUUUCUUGUUUAGUUUAAUUGAUUGCAGUGCUCUAGAAUUUCUUGUAUUUAUAUCUCUAUCCUGUAAUCUCAGUAAACUACAUUGGAUUCUCAAUAAACUGCAUUAUAUCUUCCACUUUUCCUUAUUUUCAUUAUCUGUGGUUCUUUCUAUUAUCAGUCUAGAUCAGCAUAAUUUGAGACCUAAAAUGAAAUGGAUUUUGGCCUAAAGUUUCUCUCGUGCAUGAAUCAUCAGCAUAUGAAUGCUUUUGGUUUGAACUCCUGUAUGUCACAUCAUCACUGAAUGCUAAAUAAAGAUGUUAUCUCAUAAGAGAAAACAAUCAGCUCUAUUAGUGCCUACUCUUGAAAACAAAUGCAGGAUCUUGCAGUUCAUCAAAUCACCCAGAGCAAUGAUUUGUUUGUCAACUCCUUGCAGUGUUAACAAAUCAUAUCAACCAAACCCUAUUCAGUAAGACUGAUUUGGGAUUAGGCAGCCUGAAACCAAUAGUCCAUCUCUCUUUAUAUCUAUUUCUGCAUUAUUAUCAAAAAAACAUUACUCAUUAAAAUGUGACAGGAGCUGAAAUUUCAUCAGAUGAACAUAAACUUUGCCCAUGAAACAUAUCAAUGUAAUUAAUGUAUCAGGAAAGAUCAGGUAAUUUUUUUCUCCUUUUUGUAGGGUCAUCAUCAUCAUCAUCAUCAUCAUCAUUAUUAUUGCUUUGCUUUGCAUUUUACUUACAUCACAUAAACAAUCUGCCUUAUUCUGCUUACAAAUGGGAACAACUUUCUGCCUUUCAACUUGAAAUGAGUAAUUCAAAUGGCAAUAUAAAGUAGGUAUUUAGUGUACCGUUUUAACCAGCUGAUAAAUGUAGCUUGCAUUGCAAUGUUACAUCUUAAACUAAACCAUUUAUACAAGGCAGUUAAUAACAUUUAUAAUACAAUGCUAUAUGGUUAUUUUUGUCUAAGAUUGCAGGAGAGUAGUGCUGUUGUAGAAAUGUACUAAAAAUAUUACUUAGACACUGAAUAUUAAAAUAUUAGGUAUAUUUUUAAAUAAAAUUAUUUUCAAAGUUAUACUAAUUCAAAGCUAAAAUAAUACAUUUAGAAGUAUAUACAUUUAGUGGUUUUGCAAAUUGUAUGAAUGACUUUGACACCAAAAGUCAAUAGCUCAUUGUAAAAAAAUUAUAUUAUAUAUUAAUUUUAUGAGAUGCUCAACUUAAUAUGUAGUCUUUAAAGAAUAUACUUAGUGUUACUACUAGUGGUAAUGUGACUCUUUCUCAAGUAAGAGAAAGAAAAUGGCUUGUUUGUCUGCUCUGGAUAUGAAGCAGCAAUGAUAUCACAACAUGUUUGGACUUCUUCACUUAUGAGAAAAUGUACUGAACUAAAAAAGGCAACAAUGUCUGAAUCAAAGCAUACAUAGCACAGUUGUUUGCUAUUUGCUGAAAGUCCUUUUGAAAUUUAUUUUUGUCCAUUUGGAUGAAAACGCAAUAAACAAUUUCUGCCUCAUCACCAUGGUAUCCAGUCUAGAAGCUGUAUUUUAUGUGAUAUAUCCAGAAAUUCUGUUUUUAUUGUUACUGUUAUUAUUUUAUUAUUAACAUUAUUUCAGUUCUUGCUGUACACAUGGAGACAACUGGCUUAUAUGAAGUACUGUCUUUUUGAUUACUCAUGAGAGCACUAGUCGACCAUACGGUUUUUUGUGAAUCAAUUAAUAAUACAAUAAAUUUUAAAAAAUCUGUUUAAUGUUAAUGGUUCUGUUAUAAUUUUUAAAUGAAUGAGCAAUGAGCAGAACUUUCCAGAUGCAUUACCUAUGGCUAGUAUUUUUCCUGCUGCAUGUACUGUUAUAACCUUGUUGAAUACAAUUGCAUAAAUAAAAUACAGACUUUCUUUUGUCAAACAUAAAA